GACAUCAUAGCCAAGUGGUUACGGCGACAGAUUAGAACUAAGUUUCGAGCAUCUGUUUCCCUCUGGGAGCGCAGGUUCGAAUCCUGCUGGUGUCG
Cubamyces lactineus is the source of this 95-nucleotide non-coding RNA. The record is from the annotation of a GenBank genome assembly. NCBI's taxonomy places the organism in Eukaryota, Fungi, Basidiomycota, Agaricomycetes, Polyporales, Polyporaceae.